This 72-nucleotide microRNA precursor is filed under the name Choloepus hoffmanni (Hoffmann's two-fingered sloth). Its description in RNAcentral is "miRNA (ENSCHOG00000014659.1)". Lineage: Eukaryota; Metazoa; Chordata; Mammalia; Pilosa; Megalonychidae. The record is from RNAcentral.
GGUGAUCAGUUGUCCUGGUUUGCCUGGGACUGAGGGGUUUGCCUUAUGCGGGACUUCCAGUGCUAAAACCAG